Molecule: ribosomal RNA, 337 nt
Filed under: Vibrio cholerae
Lineage: Bacteria; Pseudomonadati; Pseudomonadota; Gammaproteobacteria; Vibrionales; Vibrionaceae
Description: partial 23S ribosomal RNA
Rfam family: Bacterial large subunit ribosomal RNA
Source: RNAcentral
UGUAUGGUUAAGUGACUAAGCGUACACGGUGGAUGCCUGGGCAGUCAGAGGCGAUGAAGGACGUACUAACUUGCGAUAAGCGCAGAUAAGGCAGUAAGAGCCGUUUGAGUCUGCGAUUUCCGAAUGGGGAAACCCAACUGCAUAAGCAGUUACUGUUAACUGAAUACAUAGGUUAACAGAGCAAACCGGGGGAACUGAAACAUCUAAGUACCCCGAGGAGAAGAAAUCAACCGAGAUUCCGGUAGUAGCGGCGAGCGAACCUGGAUUAGCCCUUAAGCACUCGGUGAAGUAGGUGAACAAGCUGGAAAGCUUGGCGAUACAGGGUGAUAGCCCCGUA